AGUAGUUUGACUCCGUGGCUACGAGAGACGCUGGCGGCGUGCUUAACACAUGCAAGUCGAACGGAAAGGCCCCUUUGGGGGUACUCGAGUGGCGAACGGGUGAGUAACACGUGAGUAACCUGCCCUUGACUUCGGGAUAACUUCAGGAAACUGGGGCUAAUACCGGAUAGGAAUCCUUGCUGCAUGGUGGGGUUGGAAAGCUUCGGCGGUUUUGGAUGGACUCGCGGCUUAUCAGCUUGUUGGUGGGGUAGUGGCUUACCAAGGCUUUGACGGGUAGCCGGCCUGAGAGGGCGACCGGCCACAUUGGGACUGAGAUACGGCCCAGACUCCUACGGGAGGCAGCAGUGGGGAAUAUUGCACAAUGGGCGGAAGCCUGAUGCAGCAACGCCGCGUGCGGGAUGACGGCCUUCGGGUUGUAAACCGCUUUCAGCAGGGGCGAAGCUUGCGGUGACGGUACCUGCAGAAGAAGCACCGGCUAACUACGUG
RNAcentral lists this ribosomal RNA (486 nucleotides) under uncultured Propionibacterium sp. Its description in RNAcentral is "bacterial SSU rRNA". It matches the Rfam family "Bacterial small subunit ribosomal RNA", at positions 1 to 507 of the family's 1533-position model. Lineage: Bacteria; Bacillati; Actinomycetota; Actinomycetes; Propionibacteriales; Propionibacteriaceae. The record is from RNAcentral.